AUUGAACGCUGGCGGCAUGCCUUACACAUGCAAGUCGAACGGUAACAGGUCUUCGGAUGCUGACGAGUGGCGAACGGGUGAGUAAUACAUCGGAACGUGCCCAGACGUGGGGGAUAACGAGGCGAAAGCUUUGCUAAUACCGCAUACGAUCUAAGGAUGAAAGCAGGGGACCGCAAGGCCUUGUGCGUUUGGAGCGGCCGAUGGCAGAUUAGGUAGUUGGUGGGAUAAAAGCUUACCAAGCCGACGAUCUGUAGCUGGUCUGAGAGGACGACCAGCCACACUGGAACUGAGACACGGCCCAGACUCCUACGGGAGGCAGCAGUGGGGAAUUUUGGACAAUGGGCGAAAGCCUGAUCCAGCAAUGCCGCGUGCAGGAUGAAGGCCUUCGGGUUGUAAACUGCUUUUGUACGGAACGAAAAGGCUCUGGCUAAUACCUGGGGCACAUGACGGUACCGUAAGAAUAAGCACCGGCUAACUACGUG
This 482-nucleotide ribosomal RNA is filed under the name uncultured bacterium. Its description in RNAcentral is "partial 16S ribosomal RNA". It matches the Rfam family "Bacterial small subunit ribosomal RNA", at positions 30 to 507 of the family's 1533-position model. The record is from RNAcentral.